UGUGUUUGAUGAGUAUUGCUUUCCAGCAUUGGAUGGGAGUCUGCAUUCAACUACCAUACGGAGCACUUCUUCCGGCAACACUCCUUUACUCAUUACCACUCUAGCAAUCCCUCUUAUUAUCCCUCCUGCAGUCGCCGACUCUUCUACCUCUGAAUCUCUUCCUCUUGACUCUGUUUCUUCUGAUAUCUUGCUUGUCACUACAUCUCAGGUAGAUCAGGUUGUUGCUCAUCAUGUUCCUCCAAUUACUCCACAUCUAAACACUAUUGUAACUCGGUCACAACACAGGUCAUUCUAAACCAAAACAAUUCCCAAACUUUCAAGCCUUCUACUCCACUCGUCAUCCUCUUCGGGCUCUUUCUAGCAUUCUCAAUGAAUCUGAGCCUACUUGCUUCUCACAAGCAGUAUCAGAUCCUAAUUAGCGUGCUGCUAUGGGGCUAGAAUUUGAUGCUUUAAUGGAAAAUGGGACGUGGUCCUUAUGUCCUCACCCUCAAGAUCAUUGCAUUAUCUACAACAAAUAAGUUUACAAAAUCAAACGACGACCUGAUGGCAGUAUUGAAAGGUUUAAGGCUCGGCUAGUCGCUAAGGGAUUUGAUCAGCAAAGUGGAGUGGAUUACCAUGAAACCUUCAGCCCAGUCAUCAAACCUUCUAUUAUUCGUCUUGUCUUGGCUCUUGCGGUUUCAUUUCACUGGCCAAUCCGACAGUUGGAUGUAUCCAAUGCUUUUCUUCAUGGAGUCUUGGACGAGGAGGUCUACAUGAAACAGCCGAGAGGAUUUGUUGAUUCCUCUCACCCACAUUUCGUCUGUCGUCUUCACAAAUCCUUCUAUGGCCUUAAACAAGCCCCAAGGGCUUGGUUUCGGAGGCUGUUUCAGCAAUUACUGGAGUUUGGAUUUACUGAAUCUUCGGUUGACUACUCCUUAUUUACUUUCCACUCCAACAAGGUCUCUCUAUUUGUGUUGGUCUAUGUUGAUGAUAUAAUUGUCACUGGUUCAAACUCUAUUGCUAUUACAGACCUCAUACAUCACCUACAGUCCUGUUUUCGUAUGAAAGAUCUCGGCCCCUUAAGCUAUUUUUUGGGCAUUGAAGCUUUAAGAGAUUCGAUCAUGCUGUAUUUGAGACAGACUAAGUAUAUCACUGAUCUGUUGAUCAAGACAAAGAUGGUUGGUGCCAAACCAUUAGCUUCUCCCCUUGCUUCUGGUUCUAAGCUUUCUGCGGCUACUGGUGAAUUGUUGCCAGGUCCUACUGCUUAUCGGCAAGUUGUUGGUGCUCUCCAAUACUGCACCAUUUCUCGUCCAGACAUUACCUAUGCUGUUAAUCAGCUUUGUCAAUUCAUGCACAGCCCUCGAGUUCCACAUUGGGUUGCCACCAAGAGGGUUCUUCGUUAUCUCAAGGGUACUGUUGAUUUUGGUUUGCUUUACUCACCCUCUUCCCUUCAGUUACAUGCCUUUAGUGAUUCAGACUGGCCUAGCAACCCUGAUGAUCGUCGGUCUACUAGUGGCUAUAGUGUAUUCCUUGAUCAGUUCUCUUGGAGUGUAAAGAAACAACCAGUGUGUCUCGUUCCAGUACGGAAGCCGAGUACAGAUCCAUGGACCUUGCAACUGCCGAACUAUAUUGGCUUCGGAUGCUGCUUUGUGAAUUUCACAUUCCUUUAUCUUCCUCUCCUAUCUUAUGGUGUGAUAACAUUGGUGCUCUUGCUCUUGCAUCAAAUCCCGUCUUCCAUGCUCGAACCAAACAUAUUGAAGUUGAUUAUCAUUUUAUUCGGGAGAAGGUGGUGAAUAAAGACAUUACGGUUCGGUAUGUUGCCACCCAAGAUCAGGUAGCUGAGGUGUUCACAAAAGGUCUCUCUGCAGCUCAUUUCAGUUUCUUGCGAGCCAAACUGAUGGUGUGUCAUCUCCCCAUCAGUUUGCAGGGGGGUGUUAGUUCACCUGCUCCUACUGGCUAGUUCCCUCCAACAGUGCAGACAACACAACUCCGAGUUCUUCCCAAAAGCCUCACGAGCUAAGGACCCAGAGGAGAUUUGGACAUGAUGAAGUUUUUCCCACUAAACUCCCACAAGCUCAUCUCUUCUCUGUUAUAGUAGUUAUAACUAAAGAUUGUUAUAACUACAGUCUAUUGUAACAGCUACUUGUAACUCCCUACCUUUCUCUCUCUGAAACUCUAGAAUUGUCUCUCUCUGAAACUCUAUUAGGUUUGGCAAGUUGGCCAAACGAGUUACCCAUUUCACUUGGCUUCUUUACAAAGAGGAGGAGAGAGUUACAGAGGCAAGAUGCAGAGCGCUGCAUUUGGUCUCUCGUCGCCCUCAACAGCCCUCCUCAAGGCCCGAAGCCCUCUGAGCCCGAACUCUAGAUCCUUCUUGAGUCUUCCCUCCCACCAACCCUCGCCGAUCCGCAAUGGCCUCUCUCGUCCUCUUUCCUCCCUCUCCUCUCGCCUCGGCACCGCCGGCUGAGCUUCUGGCCCCACUCUCUUGCCGGUUAGGAAGGGCCCGGAGGUUCUCGUGGCCAGGGCGAGCUCCUCCGUCCCGGACAGCGCCGGCGAGAGCAGCGCCGCCGCCGAGCCCAGCAGCGGCGGGCUGCUUGGAACCCUGCAGCUCGGAGCGCUCUUCGGCCUCUGGUAUCUCUUCAACAUCUAUAACAAGCAGGUACGUCUUCUCCUCCUCAACAUCCUCCUCUUUCCUAUUUCUUCGUCUGUCCGAUCCGAUCUUAGUGAGGAUUAUUUAUAUGGUCGUGUUGGGGGAUCUUGUGAAUCGGUCUUCCUGGAUUUUGUUCUGGGAAUCUGUUUCUGAGAGUCCCACGGCUGAGCAAAGCUCCUUUUUUUUUUCCCGGAAUGGAAGGCUGAUUAAAGAUUCUAUCUACUGCAGCUUGUUUCUACAAGCCUAAAUCUUCCCUGAUUUAAUCUUUUUUUUAGCUGAAGUUCUUGAUGUGUAUUUAUAGAUCGGGGUUUAGGUUUUGUUUUUCUAAACUUGUUUUACCAUCGCCAGGCAUCCCUUUCACUGUUUCAUUCCCUCUUGCCGUUGAUAGUUAUGCAUCUUAGUCUUUUAAUUAAAUUCGCCUUUGAGUUUGCAUCCUUGUUGACCUGAAGAAAAGGGCCAUUUGUAGAAAUGCUGCAAGAUGUGCAUCUUCUAUUAUAACAAGCAACAGGCAACGUGCUUCACUGAAACCAUUCUCGAUGUUUGAAGCUGACCCCAUUUAUGACUCUGUCUGGCUCAAGCAAGUUUCAAAGAGACCCAAUUCUGUGAAAACUGCUGAGUCAGGUAAAAGAGGAUCACUCAGAAUGAUGAAUUAUCUCCUGAAGUGAUAAGCAACAAGUUUAGAACUUCACUGUUCAGGAUACAAAAGAGUCUUCAUUUAACAUAAUUACUGCACCAGGUUUCUUCUUUGAAUGUUCUUUAUAUUAUUGUCCCUUUAAGAGAAACAUUUUUGCCUUAGACAUAAUUACUGGGUUGUUUGGGAUAUGCUGUAAUUUGAUGUCAGAUAGGAGGCAAAGUAAAUUUACUACUUCAUUAUGUCACAGGUUCUGAAGGUCUUUCCAUUCCCAACGACCAUCACAACGUGUCAAUUUGCGAUCGGGGCUGCCCUUGUUUUAUUUAUGUGGAUGACUAAUUUUACAGGAGACCAAAGAUUUCUGCUUCACAGGUAUCAUGAUGUGAUGUGUGAGGACCUGUGCGGGCGUGUGUUUAGUCCUACAUCGGUUAUUCGCUGGGUUGUUUGUGAUUAGAUUUGAAUGGAUUUGAACCCUUAGCCUGACGAGGACGUCAGGGCUUGAACGGGGGAAGUAUGUGAGGACCCGUGCGAGCGUGUGUUUAGUUCCACAUCGGUUAUUUGCUGGGUAGAUCUUGGGUACUUAUACAGGAUCAAGGAACCCAAACAGUACCUUCCGGCUAGCCAUUUUGGGUGAGGUUCUGGGUUGUUACAUGAUGCUUAUGUGAAAAUUAUGAGCGAUUGAUCAAUUAUAUAAUGCGGAUAUGAUGUAUCUAAUUAUGAGUUUCUACUUUUCAGCUUGUAGCGAUUCUACCGCUGCCUAUGGUCCACACUUUAGGCAAUCUCUUCACUAAUACGAGCCUGGGAAAGGUUGCCGUAUCAUUUUCACACACGGUCAAAGCUAUGGAGCCCUUUUUCUCAAUCCUCCUUUCCUCCUUGUUCAUGGGAGAGGUGAUUCUUUCCGUCUUACCCUUUUCUAGUUUCACUAGUGCACCAGAAUCCUCAACACAUUGUGCUGGCUGCAUUUUAAUAUUAUCCUCAUAGUUGCUAUAUUUGAUCAUAUUGUCCUAUUUUUGAGUUGUUGUCUCAUUAAACCAUUGGAUAUCCUUCAAUAUGUAACUGGGCAAGUCAUACUGUUUUACCAUUGACUACAUGUUGGUUUCUCAUGCUCUUAUGCCUUUUCUAUUUGGAUGCAAUUUAAAUGCCUCAAUAUGUAACAUUGAUCAAGACUUAAAUGUGUUAGUGAAAAAAUGAGACAAGAGGGAAGUUUACUCCUCUGGAUGUUGAUCGUGUAGUUUGUACAACCAUAAAGCUGCAUUUUGACUAAACUGGAAUCUGCAGCUUGAUAUGUUGUGACUUCCUGCUCUCUAGACGAGUAAUCUUUUACUAAAUGUGAAUGCAGUUGCCAACUGUUUGGAUUCUCUUGUCUCUUGUGCCAAUUGUUGGUGGUGUAGCAUUGGCAUCUAUGACUGAAGCUUCUUUUAACUGGUGAGUUAUUCUUAUUCAUGGUAGAAUUGAAACUUAGAUGAUAAGUUGAGUGCAACCUAGGCACUUGUGGUUGCAUAAAGUACUUGAUUUAUUAUACUGGAGUAUGAGUUAUGGUUAUAAACUAUUUAUAACAGGGUUGGAUUUUGGAGUGCAAUGGCUUCCAAUCUGACCUUACAAUCUCGCAAUGUUCUUAGCAAAAAGCUCAUGGUUAAGAAAGAGGUGAUCUAGAUUUCCAGGAACAAAAAUCAUUUCUAGCAUAUUUUUUCUAAUAUUAAUAUCUUAAUAGUAUCAGUUCGUUCUUUCACAUUUUUUAUUAUUACUAAGCUGUAGAGAUGAUGAAGGCAGCUGUUUUUUAGCCAAUUUUGCUGCUGGCUUUUCCUAGUAUUUUUGUUCUUGACCACUUUUCCAUUCAUAACAGGAAUCUCUGGUCAACAUAAAUUCUUCUCGAUGAUUACAACUAUGUCAUUUUGCCUGUUAGCCCCUGUAACUCUGUUUGCGAAGGUGUCAAGUUCGCUCCCUCAUACAUGCAGUCUGCUGUGAGUAUGAUGUUAUGAUGCUGGCAAAGACACUUUAAUUUAUGUGUGUGCAUGCAUGAUGAGUGUGUAUGUCAGUCUCUGUGUGCAUGUAAGCAUGUAAUAUGCAUUCAAUGUAUGCACAUAUAUAGGUAAAUUCCCGUUUGAGUUGGAAUUUUGUGAAAUCUCUGGUUUCUGGAAUUACUGUAAAUGUGCAUCAAAAGUGGUGCUUACAUUGGCUUUUUGAGUAAUGUAUGUCCAAUGCCUGCACUCUACAAAGAUACUAUCUUGCAGGCACCAAUCUUGAUGCACAUGAGCAGCCAUAAAGUUAAUUUGACUACUGAAAGUUUAACAAGUGGUGACUGUCCCUCUCUCUCUCUUUCAUAUUAAUUUGUUAAUAUUCGUGGUGCUUUAAAACAUUUAACACUGUUAAUGUUCUUUGGCCUUCCCCUCAUGGGAAUUGCAGGGUUUGAAUCUUAAACAGAUAUACACGAGAUCCCCUCUUGCUGGGCUAUGUUUUCAUGCAUAUCAACAGGUGAGACAUUCUAAACUCUGUUUCUUUGCAUCGUGUAUAGGAAAAUGUACUGUGCAAAACCAUGUACUUCACCUGCUUUGGAUUAAUGUCUAAUACUGGAAGCAAUACAUUGAGGUCUUGAACAGAUUCCUGAUGUUGAACUGUGACUGUUUUAGCAGUCAUUCUGCCCGCCCAGCUUGUUACAGAUCUAAAAGAACUAGAUUUCCAUUGUUUGUGCUGUCGUAGUUCUCGUCUCUGGAAUAUUUUGACUUUGCACAUUGUGCUAUCAAUGUUUUAUUUCUGAACUUUAGUGGAUCUGCUUAUGUAAUCACAUGAAGUGUUCCAUUACUUGUCUUUUUGAUUUCGCUGAGUGAUUAUUGCCAAUGUUCAGGUGUUCUCUUUGUUCAGAUUAUGAUUGAUGAAAAUUCACAUCAUCUAUGCUUUCUUAAUCCAAGUUAUUUACUUAUUUGUUUCUAUAGUUUUCACUGUAGAUUAUCUUAAUAUUUUCACUUCUUAAAACUGUACCCAAUUGUGACUUCUGCAAUGCUUUUAAUAAUGUUUUCAGCCUUCAGUACUGCUAGUUAAAUUUUUUAUAUCUAAGAGAACUGUGCAAGUGCUAAGAGCAUGCUAUCUUUUCAGGCCAGAAACUCCAAUCUAAGUGGCCUAUUGGUUUUCCUCUCUUCAACUGCAAAAAGUCAGAAAUCUGUGAACAAUUAAAAGUUGUCUCAUGCAAACUAACUUCUUUCUAUCAAGAAAGUGUAAAGUAUUGGUUUCCAUGCACUGUAUGAUCAGCAUUUUAUUUCAUGCUGAAAACAUAUUCUAUUCUGGGAGAGACUUGAAAUAAGACUUACAAAUUAAAAAACAUCUUAAAAGAUUUUAUAGCCCUAAAUAUUGGGAAACUAUGAGGAUAGUAUAGAAUAUUUUAUGCAUUGUGGCGCUGCCUAAAACUAUUUCAAAAUAACAGUAUUUAGAACAUGUCAUGCAUCUUUAGCUAAUUUAGUAGACAUGAAUGCCACCAUUUAGAAUAAUUAAGAAUGGUGAUAUGAUAAAAUGUUUUGAAAUGCCAUGAUAAAUCACUAUGCGGCUAAGAAGAUAAUUGUCAAAUUGGAUUAAACUAAUAGCACGUACCAAGAACUAAUAUAAUCCAUAACUUAUGGUCCAUAUGGUAAAUUUGAAAAAGGUUAAGAAAGUAAUAUACUUCUGGCAGUAAAUUUUUGGUUUGGUAGACCAAAAAUUUGAAACCAUGCAUUUUGGGCAAGUUCUCCGAGUUUAAUUUCAACCAGCUUUCUCAUCAUAACACAGCUUGCUAUAUCAUGAUUUAGGCCCUGUUUGGGGGAGCUGUUGGUAGUAGAGCUUUUAGAAAUAGAGCUGUUGGAAGUAGAGCUUUCUGAAGUAGAGCUUUUAUAAAAAACUGUUUGCUGUUUGGUAACGAUAUUUCUAAAGUAAUGUGGCACUUUAACAUAUAUUUGAUAAACAAACUGAGAAAGUACUUUUGUGUGACAAAAUGACUAUAAAAGACAUUACUAGUAUUAUAGAACAGAGCAUAAUAAAAUAUAAUAUAUAUUAAUACAUUAAUUUAUGUAGUAUAAUAUUAAUGUAAUGUAAUAUAAUAUUAAUAUAACAUAGUACUAUAAUGUUGUAUACUAUAGGAUAAUUUAAUAUAAUAUUAAAUUAUUUAACAUAAUAUAUCAAUGUAUUAUGAUAUAAUGAAAUAUAAUAUUAUAUUUAUAGUAUAAUAUAAUAAUAAAUAUAUAAAAAAUUUUAUAGUUAUUAGUGUAAAUUAAUUUUUUACCCUUCUGAUAACCAUUUAUCUCUAUAACAAAUUUUUAGCUGGAUGAUAAAAUUAGUUAAAUAAUUAUUAAUAUUUAUUUUUAUUUGCUUAGAUCAGAUUAUUUGCCACUCACUCAUUAUUUUUUAUUUAUUUAUUUAUUUUAUUUAGUUAUUUAUUUAUUAUUUUAUUUCAUUAAAAUAUAUUUAUUUAUUAUCUUAUUUAUUUAUUUAUUUGUUUAUUUAUAUACAUAUUUAUUUAUUUAUUUAUUUCGUUUUGUUNNNNNNNNNNNNNNNNNNNNNNNNNNNNNNNNNNNNNNNNNNNNNNNNNNNNNNNNNNNNNNNNNNNNNNNNNNNNNNNNNNNNNNNNNNNNNNNNNNNNNNNNNNNNNNNNNNNNNNNNNNNNNNNNNNNNNNNNNNNNNNNNNNNNNNNNNNNNNNNNNNNNNNNNNNNNNNNCCAAGCCGUGGCCGCGGCUGGACAUGGCCGGUGGCUGGCCGCGGCGCAACGAAGCCCCAUGACCGGCCGCCAUGGGGGCUUCGCUACGGCUCGCCUUCCUGGUCCCGCGGCUGGGACGCCACGGUCCCGCGGCUGGCGGAGUCCUGGCCACCCCAUGGCUGAGCCCGGCAGCUCCACGGGCCGGCCGCACGCCACGGGUGGUGGCCGGCGUGGUGGCUGCCACCGUGGGCAGCCACAGGCUGCCUUCCAAAACAAAAAAGAGAGGAAGAAAUAGGGGCAGCGGCGUUGAGAGGAAGAAAAAGAUAGAGAGGGAGAGGGAGGGGGAUGGAUGAGAACCGUGGCCGGCGUGGUGGCUGCCACCAUGGGCAGCCACGGGCUGCCUACCCAAAAAAAAAAAGAAAAAAGAAAAGGAAGAAGAAACAGAGGCGGCAGCGUUGAGAGGAAGAAGAAGAUAGAGAGGGAGAUGGAGGGGGAUUGGUGAGAGAGGAAGAGGCGGUAAGAUUAGAGUUUUGGGAGGAAAAAUGGUCUUUUAAAUGGGGGGUGUUUUGGUCAAAAAAAAGCUUUCCGACAAAACUCAAAACAACUUUUUCAGAAAGCUCCAAAUUGGAGCUUCUUCUAAAAAGCUGUUUCAGCUUUCUGAAAAAGCUGAAACAACUUUCCAAAAUUUUUACCAGACAUCCUUUUUCAUUCAAAAGUAUUUUUGGAGGGCCAUAAAGUGCUUUUUGGCCAUCCAAAUGCUCCCCCAAACAGGGCCUUAGACUUAGCAAGCUUUGGAUUUUGAAGUCAAGUUUGAUAAUACUUAGGGAAGUCAUCUUCAGGACAAAUGAAUGUAGUUAGUAGAAUUACAUUCAACUUUGGCCAACAAAGUAACCAAAUUAUCAGGAGCAGAAAAACAUGAUCACACUAUGUUAUAACCUUAAUGUCGGAAAACAUGUCUUCAAUUUUUGACAUACAUCUUUGUAAUAUCUUUUAUUAUCAAAUAAAUUUUUGGACUCAUGAAUGUCCUUGAAGGCUCAAUUUUAAUUUUACCCGAACUUUGCUAAAACCCAGAAGUUCUUUAAGAAAAAUCUUAUAUUUUAGCCUCCAAAGCAUCUCAUCUAACAUGAAACUAAAUAGGACGUGGUAUUUCAACAGAAGUAUUCAUGAACAAAUGCGCACACAUAAUAUGGCUUUUAUAUGUAUAUGAGCUUGCUAGGCACUUGAUGUGCUAUUUAGGUGAGGAACUACAUUACAAUGUCAAAAAGAUGGUAAUUGUUGUUCAAUAAUAUGAUGAUGUAUUCUUUCUCCAAGAUAUAGUAUUGUAUUCAUUGUGUAUUUGUCAAACAAAUGCGAGUAGUAGAGUACUUAUCUUUAAUUUACUAGGGUCUUUGAUAUCAUUCAAUCAUUCAUUGAUUUCCAGUUAAUUGCAUUUCAAAUUUUCACACACCUAUAUAGUUUUUCAAUAUAAUUUCAAUUGCUCAUUAUGUGAAACCAUGCACUAAAAUAGGACGAGUAGGGUAUUUAUAUCAAUCAACUUAAACAUAUUUAUGUAAAAAUAAAGAAUUAAAAUAAUAAAAGAUAAUAAGAGAAAAGACCAAAAAAUAAUUUAGAGGCCAAGUUUGACUGUACAAGUGCAUACGGCUUGGUAUCAUUUGCUGAUAUGGUGCACAAUAUGACGUGCGUCAUCGACCAGCUAUUGAUAUGCUUUUGUAAUUCAAUAUUUGAAUCAUGCUAUAGUAUAUAAAAAUUCAUGGUUCCAAGAUUUUGGUUGGCCAAGCAACCCCUUAAAGUUAUCUUUUAGUUGUAAAGCCAACAUGAUUUAAGUACCAGUCGAAGUUGCACAUUAGGGGAGUUGCUUGAUUUUAGUUGACCAGGGAUACAGAUCAUUCUGCCCAAGUCCAUGAGCAUUUUGUUUUCCGUUGUAAAAAGGUGGAUUCAUAUAUCAAACAACCAAUAUAAUGCAUGUUAUGCCUUGAUGUAUGCAAGCAGUUAUUAGAUGCUUUAAAACAGUCAAAUGUUGUAAAGAUGUCCCCUAGUUCAUAGUUCCUAAGUAGUUCUAAUCCAUUUUUCUGGCAAUUUUUUUUGGCAUCCUAAUGUUAAGGCAAGGGAGUCUCUAUUUUGCUGUAACAGUGUGCUCUCAAGUUUUUUACCUGUGAUUGAUUCAAGAGUUACAGAAGUUGAGGAUAAUAGGAAAAUAAUUGCUCUAGGUUCUAUGAAUCUCACUCCAUAAAUAAUAGGCUAGUUACAUGUGCUUUGACUGAAUGAAUGUUUGAGACACUGGUGCACUGUCCGUGCAUUCUUCUAUGCUUCUGCCUACCAAUGUCUUCUAUGCUUCUGCCUACCAAUGUUCGCACCCAUCACACAUGCUAUACUAUUUAUGCUUACUGAUACAGCAAACAGUAGUUAUUGUUCUUGAUAGGCUGCCUUCUUUGCGAAUUCUAUGCAUCACCUGUCUUCUCUUGUGAAUUUCCCUUCACUAAGUUUCAUCAUUUGGUUUGAUUUGAAAAUGCUCUGUUAGGUUUCGUACAUGAUACUAGUAAGGGUGUCACCUGUAACUCAUUCAGUGGGCAACUGUGUGAAACGGGUGGUGGUCAUCGAGACCUCAGUUCUUUUCUUCAGGACUCCUGUUUCGUUUAUCGACUCGCUCGGUAACUCAUCCUUCUACUGGUGGUACUGGAUGUAUUCGAUACCUCUAAGUGCAAUAUCUUUGGAUAAUAUGUGUACUGCAGGAACUGGUGUGGUGCUGGCUAGAGUUUUCCUGUAUUCAAGGGUGAAGAAAAUCAAGCCAAAGACUGCAUGAGUAAUCUUGUCUUUCGUAUGUUCCAUUUUUUGUAUGAGUGUGCGGGUUGUUCUAGAGAUGAUGUUCGUAUUUGUUUUGCUGCUUCGCUUCUUCCAGUUUUCCAGCAGACAUACAUAGCAUGUAUGUCGGAUUUAGUUUUAGCCCCUCUCUGAGAGAACUAUAAGAUUGCAUUUUUCUUUUUCUUUUUUUGUUUUUUAACACUUUUUUGUGUGUUGAGAGGAGUGGGGUGGGGGGUUAAACCUUUUUAAAAUUUACCUUCACAAGUUAUGCAUGCUUUUGUACACAAUUAUGCCUAUUUUACAGGCAGUAAGGCAGGGAAUAAAAUGGCCAUCGAAAUGAAGGGUGAUGAAUGAAAUACCCGAUCACCAGAGAUUAGAUGUAAAUAGUCGUGAAUCUAGGAGUGGAGUCUGGACCUCAAGUUCCUCUUUGGAUGUCCCAUUAAGGCACAAGCUGGUGAGGUAAAAGGAGAGAGAUGCAUUUCAGCCAAAAAAAAAAAGAAGAAGAGAGAGAUGCAAGGGAUCAUAGGCUAUUACGGAUCCACUAGCAGUAAUAGUAUCAAAAGUAGUAAUACUAUGUAGUAAUAGCACCCAUAGUAGUAAUAGUACUAAUAAUAGUAAUAGUACCAAUAAUAAUAAUAGUACUAAAAAUAAUAAUACUAUUAAUAAUAAUAAUCGUACUAAUAAUAGUAAUCAUAUUAUAAUAUUAAUAACAGUAAUAUACUAAAAAGAGUAAUACUAUUAAAAAUAGUUUUAGUACUAAAAAUAGUAAUACGACUAAUGAUGGUAAUAGUGCUAAUAACAGUAAUAUGAUUAAUAAUAGUAAUAGUACUAAUAAUAGUAAUAAUGCUGAAAAUAAUAAUAGUACUAAAAAUAAUUAUAGUAAUUCUAUAAAAAGUAGUAAUAGUAUCAAUAGUAGCAAUACCAAUAGCUGAUUGAGAAUGUAGAGUAAAAAACCUAUUUUUGGUUUGAUAAGUUCCGUGGCUGAUGCCAUGGUCGGAUUGAGCAAGCUUCAGCAGCAAAGUGGGUGGUUGGGUGAUUGCACAUGACAGCCAAUUGGGGUCUGAGUUAUUGCACCAAUCCAUACUAAAGUAGGCACGUGUUUAGUCGAUGUUGACAUUGUAAUGCAUUGGAUGAGUUUAGCUGGUUUAUUAUUCGGCAGUGAAGAUGCUUUUAUGCUCUGGGCUUGCUUUUCUUUUCUUUCUUAUGUUUCCCCAAUCUUUUGGUCCUAAUUUUAAUUAAAACAUUGCUACAUAAUAACUCAAUGCUGUGCUUCUUGGGUAGUUCUCUUUGCAUCUUUGCUUGAUCCAUUCAAACAUCCAGCCUGUUUUUCUUUCCUCCUGAUUGCCUCGGUGAUAACCUACAAUUUGGAUGUAAUCCCCUGGGUGUGGUACAAUGACCAUCUCUCUCUUACCCUGUGUUUUUUUAUAGGCGGAUUAUGGAUGACUGCCAUUCAUCAAAUAAUCCCCUCUUUCAUGUUGUCACGUGCAAUACGUGUGCUGAUUUCCAGUUGCUUGUUUGAUGAAAAUAUCUAAUUCUUAUUUUUCUUUUGCAUCGGUUAAUGUAUGUUUGUUUGAUGGUAGUCCAUUGGAGUGGAAUGUUUCAGAGUGUGGAGUUGCUAGGGAUUUGGAUGCCCCAUUGUCUUCAUUGUGGCUACAGUAAUACGAAAAAAAACAUAACUGUGGUUCUAGAUGGUUGGAAGUGAACCAAAGCAAGCAACAAAAAAAGUCAUCUGAUAUAAUGAAACAAAGUAAUGUGCUAUUUAGCCGGAGUUUUUUUUCUUAUAUUCCUCGAUUUUGGAUUUCUUUAGCAACCUAAAAUUCCAUCUUUGAAGCUGAUAACCGCCAUCACUAUUUCCACGGUUUCCUCCCUGGAUACUACAUUCUGCUGCUGAUGCCAUAUUUCGUCUCUCUCUUUAUAUAAUAUCUGGUUGAUAAAUAUUAUUAUACACAAGCUGGACGAAGUUUCUUUGGGUCAACUAAUACCAAAACUAAAAAAAAAUAUUGGUAUGUUGGCUCGACCAAGAUUCUAUAGAUACCAAAGUAUCAGCUGAUGCCAUGAAAUUAUGAAAAGGAGAUUGAAUCAUGUUUCUUUUUUUUCUUCUGCAUAUUGAGAUAUUGACACCAGAUGGUAAUAUCUCAGGAUAUUAUUUGCUUGUAUUGAUCAAAAUAAUAACUCAAAAACAUCGACAGACAGAACAUCAAGUUUUAUGCUAGCCAUCACAAAAUGCAGAUGAAGCACUAGCAUUAAUUUUCUUCCACGACGGUCCAUGAAGCACCUGAUGCUACUGUUCAAGCAGAUGCAGAACGCACGAAAAUCUAGUCAGGAAUAUAGGUAUCCUGAAACCCCCUCCCAUGCCAGGAUCCCUCCUGGUUGGGAAUAAGAAUACCUAUUUCCCGCCAAACAGAUGUGUUCUCUCUAACUUGGGUCAAACAGUAGAAAAUAGACCAAAAAAAAAAAAUUUAACGAUAAUCUAUCCGGAGGUUACAAGCAACCAAAUGUUUCAGUACCUCACAGAAAAACAAGCUUUGGUACCUGUUAUUAUUAAUCCAUAUUAUUCUUAUCAUAAUGUUGCAAAUUCACAACACAUCGGCCACCAGAAAUCAAAGUAGAAGAGGGUGCCCAGACGUGCCAACCCAGCAAGACAAGUGAGCUUAGGGGCCAUUUUAAUUUUCGAUAUUAUCAAUUGAUGACUCAGGUUGCUCAGCUGCCGCCAUUUUAGGCGAUGUUGUACCCUCUUCAAAGGGCAUCACACCAUCCUCUCCAUCAGCAGGAAUCAUUCCUUCCUCUUCUUCCUCCCCACUCCUAUUGCAUGGCACUAACGGUGAUCGAACCGAUCCCUCAUUAGGCCCUUCAGCAUCCCCAUGGUCCCAUGGAGAUCCUCGAUGCCACUGUGCUGGGUUAGCUGAUAUUCCUUGCUUUCCAUUGUCAAUAUUACUAUACAGGCAUUCAGAUGUCUCAUUCUGAACGCUAGGUGAGCGAUCUGGUUGAACCCUUUCCAUGUCCUCACCGUUAUAUGGAGGUGAUCCCCUCUGAUCUUCGUAAGAUGGCAUUUUUGAUGAAUCGACAGGAUUGCCAAUCUGAUCAUUGAUUGGUGAAGGCACUCUUCUCCUUGAUACUGGUGAUUCCCGAAGUGUUUGCCCAGCCUCCUCACCAUGCCGGUCACCAUAUUGGUCGAUGCCACGGCUAGGACUGCGACUACGGCUCCUGCUUCGACUGUGGCCAUGGUUCCAGCUCCUGCUGCAGCUAUUGCCCCACCCAACACGCCCCUUCACAGGGCUCGGGCUGUACCUCUGGCUGUUAUUCCAGCUAAGGCUGCGACUGCGGCUACGGCGUUUACCUCUGGAUUUGCGAUCACGAAUCUCUACCUCAUGACCAUCUUGAUAUCCAUGACCAUAUCUGGCAAAAUCAUCAUCAAUAAUAAGUUUUUCUUUUUCCUUUUACUCUGGAAUGGUGAUUCGGUAUCCUAACACAUCUAAAAAGCAAUAAUACAGCCACUUGCCUAGAGCCUGGACCAACAAGCUCUCAGUCCUACAGGGACCAAGUGCGUGAGAUGGUUUUUAGUUGAGGCCUUGGGUGUUUUGGAAAGUUGCACAUCGUAAAGUUAUUGUAUAUCUAAAAUAAGCAAGUCUAUUUACACAUCUUCCCAACAAACCCUGUUUACUUCCAACUAUCACCAGACAAAUCAUCAGUUAUUCAGAUUAUUGGUAAUGUAGAUAUAGCAGCCAUGAUUUACAAAAGAAUUAGAAAAUAUUAGUUCAGUUGGGGACUCCCUAGUAGAUACUAGUAACAGAUUCAAACUGUGCUAAAGAUCACCAGAUAUGAAAGCUGUGCUGGCUCGUUCUCAUGUCAUGACCAUGAUAAUAUAGUCUACAUUAUAACAUUAGAGUAAUAUGCUGAAUAGAUUGUCGAUCAAAUAUACUAAACAAAAUACCGUUAAUUUCUUAGAAAAACAUUUAUCUCCAAAACGAUGUUACUGGUGGAUUUUUAGUAAAAAAUUAGAAAUUAUGUUCUUAAAAAAAUAUGUUCUAAUUUAAACAAAUUAUUCCCUUCACGUGACCUCAGUUUGACAUGAUUUAAUUUUUAACCACACUUCCAACCAAUCUUUCCUCUUUCUCCCUCCUAUCCCCCCAUGCCUCUCCCCCUCUCUCUCUCUCUCUCUNNNNNNNNNNNNNNNNNNNNCUCUCCCUCCUCUCUCUCUCUCUCUCUAACCACCCCAAUCCCUCCCCCCCCCAAAAAAAAGGAAAAACAACAAAAAAAGUCGCAGCCUCUCGGAACCCUGUCUCAGUUCCUCCCGCUCUUCCCCCACGUCACCCUCGCCUGCUGUCCCCAUCAAUCUCAGUAUUAUCCAUCUCUUUCUAUAUAAAGCUCCAGCAUACCCUCUACCUCAAUUCCUCCCUCUCUUCCCCAACAUCGCCCUCUCCUUGUAUCGCCAUCAAACUCAAUAUUAUCCCUUUCUUCACAAAGCUCCAACAUAUUUUUAUUUUAUUUUUGUUAUCAUGCUUCUAUUUUCUAUUUUAUUUUCAAUACCUUUCAUAUAUAAUAUAUCUCAGUGACUUACAAUGACGUAUUUUAUUUUUAUAUAUUAUUUUCUUCUAAAAUGUGCAUUUCACAUCAUGUUUUUUAUUAUUUAGUAAUCAUAUAUCUUUUAUUUAUUUUCCCUAUUUUUAUCAUUUUUAGUUGAUUUUCUUUUAAUUUUUAUAUUGAAUUUUCUUUAACCACAAAUUUACAGUUUCUACUAUCUUUAUGUUUUAUUUUUUGCAAUUAUUUUGUAAAUUUUUUAUUUUAUUUUAAUUUGUAUCUAAUAUAUUUUAAUCACUUAUAAUGCUUAUUGCUUAUUUCACAAACAUGCGCUACGUGGGCCCAAUUUUAUAUUUAUUUAUGUUUUUAUUUCAAUUUCACUUUAAAGCUGAUUUACGUUUGUUUUGUGCUUCCAUUUAUCAAUUUCUUAUUUAUAUAUAAUAUAAUUAAAUGAUCAUAUUAAUAUUGUUGUCUAUUUAUUAAUUUUCCUCGUAUGUGCAAUUCACAGCCUUUGUAUGCUACUUUAGAUUAGUAACUAAGUAGUACUGAAAAAAAGUUUGACUCAAAAGGAGUAAAAGUAAAUUUACAGUUAUAAAUACCUAUCACGAGGAGGCUCGAGAACAUCGCGUCCAUGACUGCCACGGCCACUAUCUGCUCUACCGGAUGGUAGCAGGCCAUGCACAUCCCUUCCCCUAUAACUAGUAUCACUACGUCCACGCGAGCAGCCACCAUCACGAGCAACAGAGCGAGAACCCCAACGGCGGGACUUCCCACCAUACCCACCACGUGAAACCAUGUCCCAUAACUCCUUGGGAACAUGCUGGUCUGCCCCUUCCAGAACUUUGACAAGAUCUGCUGCAUACUUCGAGUCCUGAUCGCAGAAGAACGUGUAAGACACACCAGUGGCACCUGCCCUACCAGUUCUGCCAAUCCUGUGAACAUAGUCUUCAACACCCGUGGGGAAAUCAUAGUUGACCACAACCCUGUGAAUAUUGGAAUUAUAACACAUUUAUAUGCAAAAAAAAAACAAAUAUAAAUUUUGCACAAUAGUCACCAAAAAUGCAGAAAAAGCAAUUUGAAGCCAUCACAAAUCAACACAGAACAACUAGAACUGCAUGAGAACUGAGGCAUGCAACAAGAUGUUCAUGCUGCAGAUUAAAAUGAUGAUGCCAUUGGCUGGUCCUCCUUUAUAACUAAAUAUCAUUAAAUCAAUAAAGAAAGAAGCAGAUGAAGCUUAACCUGAUAUCUUUGAUGUCCAAGCCUCGAGCAGCAACAUCAGUAGCUACUAGUAUGGGGGACCUUCCAGUUCGAAAUUGGUUUAAAACCCUGUUCCUCUCACCUUGAGACUUGUCACCAUGAAUAGCAGCUGCACCAAACUGACGAGUGAGGGUCCUAGCAAGCUGGUCACACAUCCUCUUUGUUGAGCAAAAUAUUAAGAUCUUAGACCCUGGAUCUUGGGAUCGCAAUAUCUGUUCCAACCGUCUGAGUUUUUCCAUAGGUGUGAUUACUUCCACAUACUGCAACAGACACGGAUAGAAGCAAUGAAGAUUUGAAUACCAUCAAUUGAGAGGAAGACUGACUAGUACCAGGAUAAAUAUCAGCAAUUGCAUCUCCCUAUAAUAUUGCAGAGAUGCCUAAACCAACAACAAAUAGGAUAUAUUUAUCUUGCAUAAAUAAGUAUUUUUGCAUGAUGAGCACAAAAACCUAACAAUUAACAUUUUUUUCAAAAAACCAAUAUAGUUUCUUGACAAUAUGGUAAAAAGAAAUAAAAUAUACAGAAUGUGAACUUCCUUGAAUUCAGUGAUAGUGAAUACCUGCGUGAUCGCAUUGUUUGCAACAAGAUCAUCUAUGCUCCCAAUGUUAACCUGAACAUGAUGAACAAGUAGAUCUGCAGCUAUUUUCCUAACUUCCUUUGGCCAGGUAGCAGUAAACAUAAGAGUCUGCCGACGAUUUGGUAUCUCUUUCACAAUUUUCCUUAUCUGUGGCUCAAAACCCAUGUCCAGCAUUCGGUCAGCCUCAUCAAGAACCAGAUAUGACACCUGACGGAGGCUUACUCUUCUCAUCUCUAAAAUGUCAUUCAGUCUUCCUGGAGUUGCAACCACAACAUCUACACCUCGGUCUAAAUCCCUCAACUGGGGACCUUUUGGGGCACCUCCAUAUAAACACUUGAACCACAUAAACAUAAGAUGCGAGUCAACAAUAAAACACGAUGACUAUUACUUAAGUAGACUUCUACCAAGAAAAAGCACAGAUUUAUUGAGAAUGAAACAGAUAUGGAAUAUCAUCUGCUAGCAUACACAUAACAUUACAACCAGCUAUGUCAAUUUCAGGAAUAUUAACCUUUAUAUUUAUGAGCAGAUCAAGAGGUCUAGAGGGGAGAGAUACAUGAGACUCCAGGUUAUCUUUAAAAAUGAACAAAAUUUUUGAGAACUUUAAGUCUUAUAACAAGCUGUUUUUGUCAAAAUCAAAACUAGCUGUAAAGCAUAUGCCAUCAUUGAUCCCAAGGAACCAUGAAAAACCAACCCACAACAGAACUAAAGUAACUACGGAAGGAACAAACCGUGCACGAAAUUCUUGAUGCUCUCCCAAACUUCACAGCUUCAUCUUGUAUCUGCGUUGCCAGCUCCCUAGUUGGUGAUAGGACCAAUACUGUUGGACCCAUUUUAAAGUUGUUACAGAGGCGCUUAAGAUGCAUGAACCCUGGAAUAAGAUAACCAAGUGUUUUGCCUGAUCCUGUCUUUGCAAUGGCUACAAUAUCACGACUUUGUAAUGCAAUUGGCCAAGACUGAGCCUGAAUAGGAGUGGGAACAGAGAAACCUGCAUGGUGUACCUGGAAAAGCAAAAACCCACAAAAUCCAUGAGGAAUAAUAGUCUAAAGUACUAGCCUUUUUAAGGGGAAAAAAGUCUCCCUUUUCCCUCUCUCUCCCUCUCUCUCUCUGGAAUUGAAGCAGAGGAUUAGGCUAAUGGCGGUACUAGUGCAUUCCCAAAUUGUAUGUGGACACUUGCAGAAGCAAGCUCGAGCAGGAGAAGGGCCAUCACUGCUUGGACCCAAGUGGCAGCUUGAAACAAAUCUCUGGAUGGAGCCCCAGCCAUGAACUUGUUGUCAGAAAGCCUUUCCCAUAUUGGUGGCCACUUGCAAAUGCAAGCUGAAGCAGGAGAAAGGGCCUUCUUUGUCAGGACUAAAGUGGCAGUCUGAACCAAUCAGCGGAGGCAGCCGAGCGCCCCAGCCAUGAACCAGUCCCUCAAAAAGCCCUUACCAAAAUUGGCAGCUGCUUGCAGAUGCAAGCUGGAGCGCGCAAAAAGGGCCUUUUUUGGGGGGCUUCUGUGGCAGCAUGGCCCAAAUCACCAGAGGAAGCUCAGCCACGAACUGGUAACUCAGAAAGCCCUUUUCAUACUAGGCCACCAUAACAGAUACUUCAGCUAUAUACCUCCCUCCCAGGAAAGAGGGUGGCACGUGCAGCACAGCGUACGACAUUGGCUCCGCCCCGGAGCAAAUAUCGCACCUGAGACAGAAGUAGAGAAUGGAAAGAAAAAUGAAUGGGCAUGAACCUCCAGCAAUUAAAAUAACUGUGCAGUGAAUGCUCAUGAGCACUAGAGUAUAGUAAACUUGCACAUGCAUCACACACCAAAGCAAUCAUACAAGCAAGGACAAACAAAAGGGAGACUGAAAAAUUACCUCUUUUAGAAUUUCUGAGGGAAAGCCUGCCGACUCAAAUGUCAUGUAUGGUGCUGGUACAUCAUCUCCCUGAAAAAAAAAAUCAAGUAAAGAUAACAUCAGUGGUCACUAAUGCAUAGCAUAAUGAAAACAAAAGAAGAAUUUGAAACAAAAACGAAAUAUAAAAAGCAUCACAAAGAAGAGAACAAAAACAUUUCUCUUAAAAUAUAAAGAGCAUCAUCAAAAAAAAAGAGCAAAAUCAUUUCUUUUGACAUUUUGAAAGAAAUCUAUAUCUAUUGCCAUAUGAUGGAAGCAACAGUUUCGUUUUGGCUACCAGGAUGAAUGUGCUGCUCCUUUUUAUUCUACUAUUACGACAUAUACAAAAGUAGCACUUUCAUCCUGGCCACCAGGAUGAAAGUGUUGUUCCUUUUUAUCUUCAUAUUCCUACUUAUCAUAAAUCCCCUUCAACAUACAUUAAAUCACUCAUGUUCACAUAACCAGAUUUCUGUCCUGGCCAAGGCGCUCAUCCAUUGGUUUCUCCCUUUUUACACCUAUAAAAAUACUAGCUUGUUGCAUGUGAAAAGCACAAGGGUUAUUCAACAAUUAAUGACGCAAGGUAUGCCCAUAGUCUGAGUGUUGCUUAUGCAUAGUGGAGGCUUCUUUUCCCUUCUCUUCUAUUGUGUCAGGACACUAAUAAAGGCAGGAGCAUCCCCUCCCCAUCAAGGGAAGUCCAGCUCAGGGGGAAUCUGGCUACAAAGGGAGAGAGUAUACAAAAUUCUUUCCUAUUUAAAAUAGUAGCAAUAAAAUGCCACAUUCCCAUUAAAGCAUAUUCUUUGUUUUCUGUAGUUGUUAAAUAUAAUAACCAUUAUAGUAGUUGAUUUUUGACUUUUAUAAUUGUCAUUGCCUGUACAACAUAGUAAUACAUUAGAAGUUUAAAACAAAUAAUAGUAUCGCAACCUGUCUUCACUGGCGCUAAGAUUUAACACUGAAUACCAUGAUAAUGGACCCUCUUGAGACCAUCUACCAUUAAAUAAAACCUAAUGGAUGUUAUUAGCCGUGUCAAGCCUUUUAUUGAGGGUCAAGCCUUUUAUUGACUUUUUAAGAAAUAAAGCAAUGGUUGUUAUAGUAGCUGCUAUUAGCCAUUAUAAGGGGAAUAGCAGAUUGUUAUUUGAUCCUCUAUGCAUAUACAUGUACAUAUGUAUAUACAUACAUAUGUAUUUACAUAUAUUUAUAUAUGUAUAUUUAUAGGUUUAAAAAACAAAUUGAGUAAUACAACGUUAUGAGUGUCGGACUGUACUAGGCUAGUACCAGCACAGGGCACCCAUGUGUGCUUGAAUUCCCUGCAUUUCGUACUGCUUUGAAUGGUACCAAACACAUCACUCAAUAUCGAACUAAGCACGACUGGAUAUGGCUUGGUGCCAAGCCAUAUCCAGUACAAAACACCUUCUUUCUUUUUUAGUUUUACCAUUUCAUUCACUCAAAAAACAAGUGGGAGGUUGAUUGUUGGUAGUAAAGAGGUGAGAGGCUCCAUUUUCACACUUCAGUAUAGCUAUGAUAACACUUCAGUGCUAGUCUAGAACUUCUGAAAGCUGGUCCCACCAUUGGCCUAUUUUGUUGUCUGGGUCACGAGACAACAAUUAAAUCACAGGUCAAGGUCGAUCCUUUGACUUGUGACAUCAUUAAUUUAUAAAAUAAAUAAAUAAAUGUUCAACAGUAAUGACUUAAAAAAAUAAAUAUAAAUAAGCAUGAAGAAAUAUAAUAAUAAUCGCUUCUUUACACAUGUAACAUCAACAAAAUAAAAAUGAUUGAAUCUAACAUUUUUUGUAAAAAUAAAUAAUGAAGAUAUUUAUUAAUAUCUUUUACUAAACAUACCUUGCAAUAAUUUAGCAUAGCAAUGACCAUUGAUAGGAUCCAGAUCUAGACAGGUUGUUAAAUGAUCCUAAUCCUGGAAAAAUAUUAUAAAUUAAUAUUUUAUUUUUUGAGCAUCCUAGGAGUGGUUGACUUGGUGCAGGUCAUGGUUGACUCAGACAAGUCAUUAGGUGGUUCAAGUUUUUGAAACUUACAGGUUUGGGAUUGACCCGAUCACUACAAGUCUACAAGUUUCUAGGCAUGUCAACCCACCCGAGUCCUAAAAUAUUGGCCAUACUACAACAACUAUAAUAAUAUAUCAUAAUUAUUCAUGAGUGAUAAAACUGUAAUAUAGGAAUACUAUAACUAUACAUUAUUCUCUAGUUAUAGUUUAGCUAUAAUAUGGUUAUACUGCUUUUCUAAUAUAUGCCAAGUUGAACAUGUGGUAAAAUUACAAAGCAAACUGAAGGAGUAUAUUAGACGAGCUGUAAGAGUUGCACAAAAUGAGGACAAAAUGAUACAAAAUCAACUAAGAUGGUAUGGACAUGUAACAUGAUGAUCUAAGGAGAGAUACUUUAAUUUGUGUAAGGAGACAUAUUUUUAUUAAGGGGGACUCUAGAAAGGAGAGGUACUUUAAUUUGUGUAAGGAGAUGUACUUUAAUUAAGGGGGACUCUAGAAAGAAGAGGUACUUUAAUUUGUGAUGAAAGAUGUGGGAAGAUAUAAGGUUACAUGGCUGGAGGUUGUGAGAAAAGAUUUGAAAAAAUUUGAAAUAACAUCAAAAGUAACCUAGAUAGGAGUGCUUGUCAAAGGAGGAUCCAUAUAGCCAACCCCAAAUACUUAGAGUUAGGUUGGAAUUGGAUUAUUAGGGUUAUGGUUAUGAUUAUGAUACUAUAGUUUUAACAAAGUUAUAUUAAAACUAUACUAUAGUAAGAAAAUAGCAAUUCAUUCAACUAUUAUAACAUAGUUAUAAAUAGUCAAGAUUUGUCAUUUUGGUACCGGAUCCCGUACCGAUGCCAUUCUAUUAUAGUGUCGGUACGUUGUAUGGUAUAAGACGGUGAGGGGUACCGAGUGUCGGUAUGAUAUACGGGACUGUGUACCGGUUUGCUGCCGUACAAUACGGUACGCCUGGUACUAUAUGAUACUGACCGGUACGGCGAACCUUGUAUGUAAUUACUUCGGCUAUAAUAUAUAGUUAUAAUUCAAAUAUAUAUAGCUACACCAGAAGUAGGAUGUCAUAUUAACUCAAAUGGCACACCGUACAGCAUUCAACAUCCACACCAUUCUUGAUUGUAUGUACUAUAUAGAGAUUUAGAUCGUCCUUUUAAUGCAACCACACCUACGCACAAUAAGAAAAACUUUAAGGACUCGUUUGAUUCGCUAGAAGAAUUUUUUUUACUGGAAAGAUGAUUCCUGAGAAUAUAAUACCUAAAAAAAAUAGUUUUAGUAUGUUUGAUUGAUCAUGAAAAAGCGCACAUUCUAGAGUAGCUUAUGUUUGGUUGAACAUAUACUUUUCUAGAAAAGUUAUAUGAAAAACCUAAUAUACACUUUAAUAAAGAGAAAGACCUUACCUAUGGGUUUUGAUUAAGAAUACUUUUGAAAAAAAAAGGACCAUAAUUCCCAACC
RNAcentral lists this long non-coding RNA (22355 nucleotides) under Phoenix dactylifera (date palm). RNAcentral describes it as "long non-coding RNA (PDAC_LNC001980)". The record is from RNAcentral. Lineage: Eukaryota; Viridiplantae; Streptophyta; Magnoliopsida; Arecales; Arecaceae.